UUUUUUUUUUUUAUUGGGAAUCCUGAGCACCUGUACUGUUUUACCUCCCUAUUCUCCGCUAAAGACUUUACUUUGGGAAGAAGUGUUUGGAAGAUACAGCAAGACUUGCUGCUCUACAAUAAAACAAUUAUAUGAGAACUUCUGAGAAGUUGCCAAGAACAAUCAAGAAAGAUGUUGCUUUUUAUGCAGAACACUCACUGAAGAAUAGCUUUGCAUCUUAGUCAAUGAGCAGAUUCUCAUUAUUUAUUUAGAUUCAUCUAGCAGUUAUUCUCUGAAGAGCUCAUUAGAGUAAAUUAUUCCAAUAUCAUAUUCACUUACAGACUCAUGUUAUUUAUCCCUAGGUUUAUUUUCAUAUUUUUGCAGAUUUUCUCCACUAAAUAUGUCUUAAUUCUAGUCACAUUUCUCUAUCCCCACCACCUCAAGCCUACCCCAGCCUAUUACUUUUCACUUAGAUGAAUACAAUUUCCUGUAAAGUGGGUUCCACCUCCACUUUUGCCUCCUCCAUCUGUUCUCUACUCCACAGUCCCCAUGAUGUCUUUUCUGCAAAGAAGCCAGCUGGGAUUUUAAUAAGGAUUACAUUGAAUUGGUAGAUCAAUUUGGGGAGUAUGCUUAUCUUAAAAAAUAUGAAGUCUCUGAUCCAUGAAUGUGAAUGUCUUUCCACUUAUUUAGGUCUUUUCUAAUUUCUUUCAACAGUAUCUUAUAGUUUUAACACUACACGCGUUGUAGUUCAUUUAUUAAUUUUACUCCUACGUAUUUUAUUCUUUUAGAUGCUAUUGCAAGUGGAAAUUGUUUUCUUAAUCUCAUUCUCAGAUUGUUCAUUAUUGCUACGUAGAAAAAUAGUCGAGAAUCCCUGGGUGGCUCAGCGGUUUAGUGCCUGCCUUCAGCCCAGGUCGUGAUCCUAGAGUCCCGGGAUUGAGUCCCACAUCGGGCUCCCUGCAUGGAGCCUGUUUCUCCCUCUGCCUGUGUCUCUGCCUCUGUGUGUGUGUGUGUCUCUCGUGAAUAAAUAAAUAAAAUCUUUAAAAAAAAGUGAAAAGAAAAAUAAUCAAUUUCUGUAGUUUGAUCAUCCUGAAACUUUGCUUAACACAUUUAAUAGUGGAUUCCUUAGGAUUGUCCAUAGAAAAGCUAUUCCUUAGGGUUUUCUAUAUAAAAGAUAAUGUCAUUUGAAACUAGAGAUAGUUUUACUUCUCUCUUUGUAAUCUGGGUGUCUUUCAUUUCUUUUUCUUAUCUAAUUACUCUGUCUAGAACUACCAGUGCAAUGCUGAAUAGAGAUGGUGAGAGUAGUCAUCCUUGUUCUUGUUCUUUUUCUUAAAGGGUAAAGUUAUGAUAUUCACUGUGAGACUAUAGAUGCCUUUGAUCAAGUAGAUUCCCUUGAAUCUAGUUUCCCUUUAAAAGGGAAAAGAUUCCCUUUUAUUUCUAGUUUAUUGAAUUUUUUUUUCAUGAAAGGGUGUUGAAUAUUAUCAAAUGCUUUUUCUGUGUCUGUUAAGAUUGUCAUGUGGUUCUUGUCCUUUUCCCUCACCAUUCUUCAGAUUAUAUAAUCUCUAUUGCUCUAUCUCAGGUAUAUGCACAGUUUCUCUGGCCUCCUUCCCCAGGGACAGUACAGUUUUAGCCAGUUCUCUUUGACUGAACCCUCUAAGCUUCAGUCUGGUUAUCACAUCUACCAGUUAGUUUCCACUGAUUGAUAGCUGAUUCCUCUAUUGCUUUUGACAAUACCCUGGGUCAUAAAUUGCCCCAUAGUCUGAUCUAGAUAAAGCUAGCCUCCUCUGCAGGAAUAGUCUUUGAGGUUUGAUUUACUUCAUCAGGGCUCUUUUUAGCUAUCUUGCUCUUUGUUUUCCUGUCAUAGUUCUAGCUGCUCAACAAUUUGUCCUGUUGUUAUUAAGGAGACUCUCCCUAAUUGUUCACCUCUGAGAACUUUACUGCUUUCAUUAAUGCUCUUGGACUUGAACUUCCUCAUGCUGUUACAAAUAAAGGGAUGCUUUUCCUGAUUUCUUUUUUUUUUUUUUAAGAUUCUAUUUAUUUAUUCAUGAGAGACACACAGAAAGAGGCAGAAACACAGGCAGGGGGAGAAGCAGGCUUCCUAGGGGGAGCCUGAUGUGGGACUCAAUCCCAGGAACCCAGUAUCAAUCCCUGAGCUGAAAGCAGAUGCUCAACUACUUAGCCACUCAGGCAUCCCCCCGAUUUCUUUAUUUAAGUUGAUAUCACUCUCUCUCUUCAUUUGCCUUGCUUUAUUUUUUUUCAUAGCCCUUACAUUGACCCAAUAUUCUAUUACAUAUGUGUUUAUUUUAUCUAUCUCCACCAUUAGAACAGAAGCUCCUUGAGGGUAGCGUAAUGCUGUAUACCUAGUUCUUAGAAGAAUCCUUAGCAUAUAGUAGACAUAAUAAAUAAUGGGUAAAUAAGUGAUGCAGUGAAUAGUGAGGGAAUAAAUGUCAACAAAUACCACUAUCAAAAAAGGAUGAGGGAAAAUUUAUAGCAAGAGUCUAGCAUUUGCAUAGAGAUGACUAUUCAGAGAACCUUUGAAGUUUACAAUAACACAACAGUGUUGAGAAAAUGACAGGUAGAGUGGGAUGAGCAGGCCUAAUGCUCUAAAAGAAAAUAAACUCAAAAAUAAUAACGAUGAUAGCACUAAUUAUAGUAACAACACAACUCACACAAAGUGAUGCUUAAAGUGGACCAAGCCCCAUG
This 2679-nucleotide long non-coding RNA is filed under the name Canis lupus familiaris (dog). RNAcentral describes it as "lncRNA (ENSCAFG00000058750.1)". The record is from RNAcentral. Lineage: Eukaryota; Metazoa; Chordata; Mammalia; Carnivora; Canidae.